CGAUAGUUUUAGUACUAUCGCCACUAUCGUUUAAUUGAUAGCGUAUUCUCUUUCUUAGCGCUUUUGACAUUCGCUCGUAUUGGUUGAAACUUGGCAGCGUUAUUUCUGAAAGCGCUAUUUUUGAUUUUAAGCGUGAAAAUGGCUGAAGAUACAUUGCCGUCUAAAGAACCAAAAACUUCCGAAGUGUGGAAUUUCUUUAAAAAAACAAGCGACACAAAAUUUGAAAAAUAUGCUCCUCUAUCGCUUGUUCAAGCAGCACUGCUUCAUCAAUCGUCAACCACUUGCAGCAGUGGUUCAGUGCAAAGAUUUGUUAGUGCAUAUUUCACUCUCGAAUUUAAAUAUGAUUCGAACUCCGGGCGCAAAAAAAAAUUGAUGCCGCACUGGUAAGGUGGAUCAAAAACAGAGUACAACAAAAGUCGAUGUAAUCCUGAAGAAGAGGCAGUACUUGGAGCAAGUCAACUCAGAGCCAAACACAAACCCGCUACUGUAUUGGAAGGUGUUACGAAAUCAGCUUGAAUCAGAUCUUCCUGAUUUGGCAAAAAAGUUUUUUUAUAUCCCGGCAUCAUCUGUAGAGUCUGAAGGCACUUUCAGUAAAGCGGGCUUAAUUGUUAGCGAUAGGCGAUCGAGUUUAAAGCCAAAAACAGUCGAUGUGUUGGUAUUCUUACAAAAAAUUUCAACGAUUUGUAAAAUAAACAAAUUUAUAAAAGCAAGACAACGAAAAAUAAAUGGAUUUGAAAAAAUAACAUAAAAUGGGUCGAUACUAUCGAUAGUAUCGAUGGUCACAAUUAAGACUAUCGU
This is an RNA transcript of Rhagoletis pomonella (apple maggot), 798 nucleotides long. RefSeq lists it as uncharacterized. The transcript is spliced from 5 exons. NCBI's taxonomy places the organism in Eukaryota, Metazoa, Arthropoda, Insecta, Diptera, Tephritidae. The record is from RefSeq and is a predicted model, not a curated record.